Molecule: long non-coding RNA, 706 nt
Filed under: Homo sapiens (human)
Lineage: Eukaryota; Metazoa; Chordata; Mammalia; Primates; Hominidae
Description: non-protein coding LINC01588:72
Source: RNAcentral
UUUUAUGCUGUUCCCGUAACACCCAGCACCAGUCCCCAAGGAUGAGUGCUGAAGAUCCAUAGCCAUGGCAGGGCAGGGCCUAGGUACUGAAGGAAGAUCCCACUCAGAGUUCAGUUCCACCCACUGCAAAACGCCCUCCGAGGACCCUCACUAGACCAGUUCCUCCAAGUGCGGUCCGCAGGCUGCCAUCAGCGGGAUCACGGGCCUUGUAUGACCUCUGAAAAUAUGACCUGAAGCAGAUGGAUGCACUCACAUAAGAAACAUCACCUGUGGCCUUCAUCGAAAAUGGGCCUGCUGCUUGAAGAAGUUGGGCUCUUGGAGUUCUCUAGCACAGGGGCCAUGAAAAUCAAUGACUUCCUUGUUUGCUGACGGAGCAGAGGUAGAAUCUCUUGGUGUUUCCACGGAGAAAACACUGACCAUGAAGAGCCAAGAAAGAUGACAUGAUGAAGCCAUCAGGGGAAGCACCAAACAUCCUCAACUCUGCUCACCCAUGGUUUUCUCCCGCCCUCCCAGAGCUCCUCCUGCGUGAUGAUGGGCCCCCGACAUGAAACUGGCACUCAGAAUGAAGAAUGCCUUUUCCAGCCUCCCUCGCUGGUGGAGUCUCCGUGUUCCAGCCAAUGAAAGGAGGAAGCCUGGACAGCCUGCAGUUGAGGGGACCUGCACAAGCUCACAGGACUCUUCAUCACCAUGACACCACGCUCACCGC